This 253-nucleotide ribosomal RNA is filed under the name uncultured bacterium. RNAcentral describes it as "partial 16S ribosomal RNA". It matches the Rfam family "Bacterial small subunit ribosomal RNA", at positions 524 to 776 of the family's 1533-position model. The record is from RNAcentral.
UACAGAGGUCCCAAGCGUUGUUCGGAUUCACUGGGCGUAAAGGGUGCGUAGGUGGCCAGGUAAGUUCGGUGUGAAAGCUCGGAGCUUAACUCCGAAAUGUCAUUGAAUACUAUCUGGCUAGAGGGUCGGAGGGGAGACUGGAAUUCUCGGUGUAGCAGUGAAAUGCGUAGAGAUCAUGAGGAAGACCAGUGGCGAAGGCGGGUCUCUGGACAGUUCCUGACACUGAGACACGAAGGCCAGGGGAGCAAACGGG